GGAAAGGUCGCAUAGCGGUCUAGUGCGUUCGCUUGGAAAGCGAAUGUGGGGGAAACCCCACCGGGAGUUCAAAUCUCCCCCUUUCCG
Molecule: transfer RNA, 87 nt
Filed under: Candidatus Amesiibacteriota bacterium
Lineage: Bacteria; Candidatus Amesiibacteriota
Description: Candidatus Amesbacteria bacterium tRNA-Ser
Rfam family: tRNA
About the family: Transfer RNA (tRNA) molecules are approximately 80 nucleotides in length. Their secondary structure includes four short double-helical elements and three loops (D, anti-codon, and T loops).
Source: RNAcentral